CGAACGCUGGCGGCAGGCUUACACAUGCAAGUCGAGCGCUGUAGCAAUACAGAGCGGCAGACGGGAGAGUAACACGUGGGAACGUACCCUUCGGUUCGGAAUAACUCAGGGAAACUUGAGCUAAUACCGGAUACGUCCGAGAGGAGAAAGAUUUAUCGCCGAGGGAUCGGCCCGCGUCCGAUUAGCUAGUUGGUGAGGUAACGGCUCACCAAGGCGACGAUCGGUAGCUGGUCUGAGAGGAUGAUCAGCCUCACUGGGACUGAGACACGGCCCAGACUCCUACGGGAGGCAGCAGUGGGGAAUAUUGGACAAUGGGCGCAAGCCUGAUCCAGCCAUGCCGCGUGGGUGAUGAAGGCCUUAGGGUUGUAAAGCCCUUUCGGCGGGGAAGAUAAUGACGGUACCCGCAGAAGAAGCCCCGGCUAACUUCGUGCCAGCAGCCGCGGUAAUACGAAGGGGGCUAGCGUUGCUCGGAAUCACUGGGCGUAAAGCGCACGUAGGCGGAUCUUUAAGUCAGGGGUGAAAUCCUGGAGCUCAACUCCAGAACUGCCUUUGAUACUGGAGAUCUCGAGUUCGGGAGAGGUGAGUGGAACUGCGAGUGUANAGGUGAAAUUCGUAAAUAUUCGCAAGAACACCAGUGGCG
This 640-nucleotide ribosomal RNA is filed under the name uncultured bacterium. Its description in RNAcentral is "bacterial SSU rRNA". It matches the Rfam family "Bacterial small subunit ribosomal RNA", at positions 30 to 717 of the family's 1533-position model. The record is from RNAcentral.